RNA transcript from Callithrix jacchus (white-tufted-ear marmoset), 1206 nucleotides. It is a transcript of the gene named dnaJ homolog subfamily B member 1 pseudogene, with no coding region annotated. Lineage: Eukaryota; Metazoa; Chordata; Mammalia; Primates; Cebidae. The record is from RefSeq and is a predicted model, not a curated record.
CUGUGGGGCGGCGGGCCGCAGGCGGGGGCCAUGGGCAAAGACUACUCCCAGACACUGGGCCUGGCCCGCGGCGCGUCGGACGAGGAGAUCAAGCGGGCCUGCCGUCGCCAGGCGCUGCGCUACCACCAGGACAAGAACAAGGGCCCGGCGCCGAGGAGAAGUUCAAGGAGAUCGCCGAGGCCUACCACGUGCUGAGCGAGCGCAAGCGCGAGAUCUUCAACUGCUACGGGGAGGAAGGGCUAAAGGGCAGCGGCCCCAGUGGCGGUAGCGGUGGUGGUGCCAAUGGUACCUCUUUCAGCUACACAUUCCAUGGAGACCCUCAUGCCAUGUUUGCUGAAUUCUUAGGCGGCAGAAAUCCCUUUGACCCCUUUUUUGGGCGGCGGAAUGGGGAGGAAGGCAUGGACAUUGACGACCCAUUAUCUGGCUUCCCUAUGGGCAUGGGUGGCUUCACCAACAUGAACUUUGGCGGCUCCGGCCCUGCCCAAGAGCCCACCCAAAAGAAGCAAGGUCCCCCAGUCACCCACGACCUUCGGGUCUCCCUUGAAGAGAUCUACAGCAGCUGCACCAAGAAGAUGAAAAUCUCCCACAAGCGGCUAAACUCCGAUGAAAAGAGCAUUCGAAACGAAGACAAAAUCUUGACCAUCGAAGUGAAGAAGGGGUGGAAAGAAGGGACCAAAAUCACAUUCCCCAAGGAAGGAGACCAGACAUCCAACAACAUUCCAGAUGAUAUUGUCUUUGUUUUAAAGGACAAGCCGCACAAUAUCUUUAAGAGAGAUGGCUCUGAUGUCAUUUAUCCUGCCAGGAUCAGCCUCCGGGAGGCUUUGUGUGGCUGCACAGUGAACAUCCCCACUCUGGACGGCAGGACCAUACCCGUGCUAUUCAAAGAUGUCAUCAGGCCUGGCAUGCGUCGAAAAGUUCCUGGAGAAUGCCUCCCCCUCCCCAAAACGCCCGAGAAAUGUGGGGACCUCAUUACUGAGUUUGAAGUGAUCUUCCCCAAAAGGGUUCCCCAGACAUCAAGAUCCGCUCUUGAGAAGGUUCUUCCGAUAUAGCUACCUGAGCUCUCCAGACUGACUAGGGACCUUUCUAGGGCUCAAGGAUUUCUGGACCUUUCUACCUAUUGUGGACCAUGAGAGGGCGGAGGGCCCAGGGAGGGUUUUCAUACUGCUGAAUGUUUUCCAGAGCAUAUAUUACAAUCUUUCAAAGUCG